GCGAGAGGCCAUUGUGGGACGGGGUAAGGUCGCGGGGCUUGAAAAAAGUUUUCUUGCUUCUGGAUUUGGGCCGGACCCUAGCUCUGCAUCGCAACCAUGUCGUCCAAGCAAGGUGGAAAAGCCAAGCCUUUGAAGAAACCCAAGUCUGAUCAGAAAGAAUACGACGAGGUUGAUUUGGCUAACCUUCAGAAGAAAAAGGAAGAGGAAAAGGCACUAAGGGAGCUGAAAUCCAAGGCACAACAAAAGGGGGCCUUUGGAGGUUCUGGGCUGAAGAAGAGUGGAAAGAAAUGAAGGCUUUCCCAGCAUAUUAGUACCCUACGCAUAGUUAUUGAGCUGUCACUAAAUAUGCUACGAGAGCAUGUCUAAUUAAUGUGGUCUUUGUCUAAGAGAUACUUUCUUGCUUGUAUUUGUGAACCCAAGUGCGUUGUGUUACACGCACAGUAAAUUUCUUGUUUGCAGCUUUCCUCUAAGACUGUCUUGCUACUUAUUGUUGUGAAAUGUGAUUGCUUUAGCAAGGUGGUUAGACGUGUAUCAUCAUGACAAUUGAGGAAUAUAUCUCCCCUUUAGGAAAAAGUCCCCUUGUGUGUCUGAGAUUGACAUUCAAUACCAAGAAGGGUUUAAUCAA
Molecule: long non-coding RNA, 625 nt
Organism: Prosopis cineraria
Lineage: Eukaryota; Viridiplantae; Streptophyta; Magnoliopsida; Fabales; Fabaceae
Exons: 4
Source: RefSeq, a predicted model, not a curated record